GUUCUUUGCCCAAUACCCAUUGGUCGUUGACCUUAGGUGCAGCAUAAGCACCUGCUUAAUUUCUGUGCCAGCAGACGCCGUAAAACGGAGGGUGCCAAGCCUUAAUAAGAAAUUACUGGGCGUAAAGCGAGCGUAGGUGGCUUGAUAAGUCAGAUGUGAAAGCCCCGGGCUUAACCUGGGAACGCCAUCUGAUACUGUUAGGCUAGAGUAGGUGAGAGGAAGGUAGAAUUCCAGGUGUAGCGGUGAAAUGCGUAGAGAUCUGGAGGAAUACCGAUGGCGAAGGCAGCUUUCUGGCAUCAUACUGACACUGAGGUUCGAAAGCGUGGGUAGCAAACAGGAUUAGAUACCCUGGUAGUCCACGCCGUAAACGAUGUCUACUAGUCGUUGGGUCCCUUGAGGACUUAGUGACGCAGCUAACGCAAUAAGUAGACCGCCUGGGGAGUACGGCCGCAAGGUUAAAACUCAAAUGAAUUGACGGGGGCCCGCACAAGCGGUGGAGCAUGUGGUUUAAUUCGAUGCAACGCGAAGAACCUUACCUGGUCUUGACAUAUCUAGAAUCCUGCAGAGAUGCGGGAGUGCCUUCGGGAAUUAGAAUACAGGUGCUGCAUGGCUGUCGUCAGCUCGUGUCGUGAGAUGUUGGGUUAAGUCCCGCAACGAGCGCAACCCUUGUCCUUAGUUACCAGCGGUUUGGCCGGGAACUCUAAGGAUACUGCCAGUGACAAACUGGAGGAAGGCGGGGACGACGUCAAGUCAUCAUGGCCCUUACGACCAGGGCUACACACGUGCUACAAUGGUAGGUACAGAGGGCAGCUACACAGCGAUGUGAUGCGAAUCUCAAAAAGCCUAUCGUAGUCCAGAUUGGAGUCUGCAACUCGACUCCAUGAAGUAGGAAUCGCUAGUAAUCGCGGAUCAGAAUGCCGCGGUGAAUACGUUCCCGGGCCUUGUACACACCGCCCGUCACACCAUGGGAGUUGAUUGCACCAGAAGUGGUUAGCCUAACCUUUAGGAAGGCGAUCACCGCGGUUGUAGUGAAAAAAAAAAAAAAACCCCC
RNAcentral lists this ribosomal RNA (1051 nucleotides) under Psychrobacter sp. RNAcentral describes it as "bacterial SSU rRNA". It matches the Rfam family "Bacterial small subunit ribosomal RNA", at positions 447 to 1489 of the family's 1533-position model. The record is from RNAcentral. Lineage: Bacteria; Pseudomonadati; Pseudomonadota; Gammaproteobacteria; Moraxellales; Moraxellaceae.